Acipenser ruthenus (sterlet) is the source of this 2272-nucleotide long non-coding RNA. RefSeq lists it as uncharacterized. Lineage: Eukaryota; Metazoa; Chordata; Actinopteri; Acipenseriformes; Acipenseridae. The transcript has 3 exons. The record is from RefSeq and is a predicted model, not a curated record.
AGCAUGAAGACUCAUGCCUGUGUGGAUAACCAAGGAGAGGGAAUGAGUGAACCAAACAUGUGUGUUUAACUGGGAUCCUCAGGACCAUAGGGGACAGUCUUGGAUGGGAAAUCAACUCUCUCUGAUGAUGGAAGUAACCCGAUAAAAAUCCUAUGCGAAGGACACAAGAGGCGGGUGUUUAACCUCCGACUGCAGAAAAAAACGACCAUAUGAUGCAGGCAGAAUGAAGAGCUGUUAAUUAAAUAUAUUAUCGUGUAGAUACGAGGUAAUAGGAUCCCCCCCCACUCCAUUUUACCCAUAGAUGUUGAGGGUCCUCCGAGACCUGGUAAAGGCACGGCCGUGUGGUAUGCAGGGUUUCAUACAGUGAAGACAGCACAGGUUUGAGUCCUGGCUGUGCCAAGUUGCUGAUCCUCAUCCAAAUUGUCUCUGGCAAACUGGGCUAGGGCUGUUUCUCCACACCACAAUGACUGGACGUUCUAAAAUGGGGAGAAAAACGGGGGUAAAAUCUACAUUUCACUUUGCUUAUUGUCACUGGUCAAUAUCAGUCACAUUUAUCAGCCAUACAACUGAUUUCCAGCCCACCUUGGGAAAACACAAGAUUAGAAGGCUCAAAAGCAAGUGGCUGUAAUGAAGCAAUUUGAAUACAAAGUACAGCAGCACAAUAUAGCAUACUGAUAUUAAGUGUCUGACUGAUUUUUUACUGAAGGCUAUUUCAGUUUUGCAUAGCCGGAGCUUAUUCCACAUCAAAAGGUCACAUAAAAGAACGCAGGCAUGCUGAAAAUAAACUUACAAAACUAAUUACACAGUAAUUCCUGCUUACUGUCUUUUGGAAAUAACUCCAAGGUCUGCCUUUCACUAAAAAUGAAUGAAACAUUAGUUAUUCAUCAGUAAUAACUAGUUCUUAAAUAUUGGAAAGGGGACCACAUUUCUCCGAGUAGAAACAUGGUAUGCUUCACAUUUUACACUAUGUUUGUUUUAGAGUAAUGCUGGUAGGCUGAUGGCAGGGCCAUUACUAGAACCCCUAAACAAAACUAAAGAUGUCCUGUUUCUAAGCGUUCUUUCUGUGUAUAAUGUAGUUAUGUCAGUGUUCUAAAUCAGCUGUAAAUGAUGUCCAAUAUAUUAAUGAAAUCUGUUAUUAUUGUUAUUGUUACUUUGUGAUCCAUCAUACAUUAUAUAUACAAAAAUGCAAUAAAUAUAAUAACAGAAAUGUUGUUUACUGAGCGGUCAUAGCAUGAGGCUUCUGGGAACAGGAGUUAUUUUAUAACUCUUGAUAUAUAUAGGAGGCUGUGUGGUCCAGUGGUUAAAAAAAGGGCUUGUAACUAGGAGGUCCCCAGUUCAAAUCCCAUCUCAGCCCCUGACUCAUUGUGUGACCCUGAGCAAGUCACUUAACCUCCUUGUGCUCCGUCUUUCGGGUGAGAUGCACUUGUAAGUGACUCUGCAGCUGCUGCAUAGUUCACACACCCUAGUCUCUGUAAGUUGCCUUGGAUAAAGGCAUCUGCUAAAUAAACAAAUAAUAAUAUUUUGUCAAUGUUGAUGUAAUCAUCAGUGUGACUCUGGAAGUGGAAUGAAGGACCACCACGCUGGAUCUGGAGAAGUGAGAUGUCUUCAAAGGGCAGUCUGUAAAUACUGUUCAUUAAUAGUUUUCCAUUAUGCAUGCCUCCUUUUGAACAGAAAAUGUGAGAUCUGUGAAGUGACAGCAACACAUAUUAGGUCAAAUGUACUGGGAUUAUUGUUUGUGCUACAUACUUUAAGCAGCCUUCAAUGUUUAAAUAAAAGGGAUUAUUGUAUUGCCACGUGGCCCACAAUAAACGUUGCAGUUACUAAAGUGGACCUAAAUAAAAAUGAUAGUAAGGUCAACAAUAGAUAUUUCAAUGCUACAUUUAUUUGUCACACUCUAUACCGAUUUCACCCAAACAAACACCCCAUCCAAUGUUUAAGAUGGCCGCCACAAACAUUCAACUCUUCACACAGAUGAAGGCAUUGGCUGAAUGGUUUGUUUGCCUGUGUGGUUUCCUAUAGCUGCGCUCAGGGGGAGGGGAGGAAUGGAAAUGUUGCUGCAGUCUUCAGUGUGCUGUGCUGAGCUGAUCCGAGUCACAGGGAGACAGCCAGGCUGACAGCCAAGGGUCGCAGGGGGUCAGCCAGCAGAAACUCUGCUCAUGAAUUUCCUCUCUCAGCCUCUGACAAAGAGGGGAGGUUUUUGAUAUGGUUGUCAUGACAACCACUGCGUUAGGGGAGAGUUCUAGGAUUGUAUAUAUUUUCAGGGAUGAAUGGG